CAUGCAAGUCGAGGGGAAACGACAUCGAAAGCUUGCUUUUGAUGGGCGUCGACCGGCGCACGGGUGAGUAACGCGUAUCCAACCUGCCCAUCACUUGGGGAUAACCUUGCGAAAGUAAGACUAAUACCCAAUGAUAUCUCUAGAAGGCAUCUGAAAGAGAUUAAAGAUUUAUCGGUGAUGGAUGGGGAUGCGUCUGAUUAGCUUGUUGGCGGGGUAACGGCCCACCAAAGCAACGAUCAGUAGGGAUUCUGAGAGGAAGGUCCCCCACAUUGGAACUGAGACACGGUCCAAACUCCUACGGGAGGCAGCAGUGAGGAAUAUUGGUCAAUGGACGAGAGUCUGAACCAGCCAAGUAGCGUGCAGGAUGACGGCCCUAUGGGUUGUAAACUGCUUUUAUAAGGGAAUAAAGUGAGUCUCGUGAGACUUUUUGCAUGUACCUUAUGAAUAAGGACCGGCUAAUUCCGUGCCAGCAGCCGCGGUAAUACGGAAGGUCCGGGCGUUAUCCGGAUUUAUUGGGUUUAAAGGGAGCGUAGGCCGGAGAUUAAGCGUGUUGUGAAAUGUAGAUGCUCAACAUCUGCACUGCAGCGCGAACUGGUUUCCUUGAGUACGCACAAAGUGGGCGGAAUUCGUGGUGUAGCGGUGAAAUGCUUAGAUAUCACGAAGAACUCCGAUUGCGAAGGCAGCUCACUGGAGCGCAACUGACGCUGAAGCUCGAAAGUGCGGGUAUCGAACAGGAUUAGAUACCCUGGUAGUCCGCACGGUAAACGAUGGAUGCCCGCUGUUGGUCUGAAUAGGUCAGCGGCCAAGCGAAAGCAUUAAGCAUCCCACCUGGGGAGUACGCCGGCAACGGUGAAACUCAAAGGAAUUGACGGGGGCCCGCACAAGCGGAGGAACAUGUGGUUUAAUUCGAUGAUACGCGAGGAA
This 924-nucleotide ribosomal RNA is filed under the name uncultured bacterium. RNAcentral's name for it is "bacterial SSU rRNA". It matches the Rfam family "Bacterial small subunit ribosomal RNA", at positions 54 to 968 of the family's 1533-position model. The record is from RNAcentral.